GAUGAACGCUGGCGGCGUGCCUAACACAUGCAAGUCGAGCGAUUUACUUCGGUAAAGAGCGGCGGACGGGUGAGUAACGCGUGGGUAACCUGCCUCAUACACAUGGAUAACAUACCGAAAGGUAUGCUAAUACAGGAUAAUAUAAGAGAUUCACAUGGAUUUCUUAUCAAAGCUUUGGCGGUAUGAGAUGGACCCCGCGUCUGAUUAGCUAGUUGGUAAGGUAAUGGCUUACCAAGGCGACGAUCAGUAGCCGACCUGAGAGGGUUGAUCGGCCACAUUGGGAACUGAGACACGGGUUCCAAACUCCUACGGGAGGCUG
This 319-nucleotide ribosomal RNA is filed under the name uncultured Bacillota bacterium. RNAcentral describes it as "bacterial SSU rRNA". It matches the Rfam family "Bacterial small subunit ribosomal RNA", at positions 28 to 351 of the family's 1533-position model. Lineage: Bacteria; Bacillati; Bacillota. The record is from RNAcentral.